AGCAUGUGGUUAAUUCGAAGCAACGCGAAGACCUUACCAGGUCUUGACAUCCCGAUGCUAUUUCUAGAGAUAGAAAGUUACUUCGGUACAUCGGUGACAGGUGGUGCAUGGUUGUCGCCAGCUCGUGUCGUGAGAUGUUGGGUUAAGUCCCGCAACGAGCGCAACCCCUAUUGUUAGUUGCCAUCAUUCAGUUGGGCACUCUAGCGAGACUGCCGGUAAUAAACCGGGGGAAGUGGGAUGACGUCAAAUCAUCAUGCCCCUUAUGACCUGGGCUACACACGUGCUACAAUGGUUGGUACAACGAGUUGCGAGUCGGUGACGGCGAGCUAAUCUCUUAAAGCCAAUCUCAGUUCGGAUUGUAGGCUGCAACUCGCCUACAUGAAGUCGGAAUCGCUAGUAAUCGCAGGUCAGCAUACUGCGGUGAAUACGUUCCCGGGCCUU
This 441-nucleotide ribosomal RNA is filed under the name uncultured Streptococcus sp. Its description in RNAcentral is "bacterial SSU rRNA". It matches the Rfam family "Bacterial small subunit ribosomal RNA", at positions 936 to 1382 of the family's 1533-position model. Lineage: Bacteria; Bacillati; Bacillota; Bacilli; Lactobacillales; Streptococcaceae. The record is from RNAcentral.